AGAACGAACGCUGGCGGCAGGCUUAACACAUGCAAGUCGAACGCUCCGCAAGGAGAGUGGCAGACGGGUGAGUAACGCGUGGGAAUCUACCUAGUUCUACGGAACAACACAGGGAAACUUGUGCUAAUACCGUAUACGCCCUACGGGGGAAAGAUUUAUCGGAAUUAGAUGAGCCCGCGUAAGAUUAGCUAGUUGGUGGGGUAAUGGCCUACCAAGGCGACGAUCUUUAGCUGGUCUGAGAGGAUGAUCAGCCACACUGGGACUGAGACACGGCCCAGACUCCUACGGGAGGCAGCAGUGGGGAAUAUUGGACAAUGGGCGAAAGCCUGAUCCAGCCAUGCCGCGUGAGUGAUGAAGACCUUAGGGUUGUAAAGCUCUUUCAGUAGGGAAGAUAAUGACGGUACCUACAGAAGAAGCCCGGCUAACUUCGUGCCAGCAGCCGC
Molecule: ribosomal RNA, 443 nt
Filed under: uncultured bacterium
Lineage: Bacteria
Description: SSU rRNA
Rfam family: Bacterial small subunit ribosomal RNA
Source: RNAcentral